GGUCCUGGCCAGGCUGCCAAGCCUGCUGCUGGGCUCUGCUGCUCACGCCCCGGUGGCAGAGCCCGAAGCUUCCACCGUUCAGGUGACCAGCCCCAGGCCACAGAGUGCGGACGACCUGAACCCUGGGGGAAGACACGGAGGAGCUCGAGCCCAAACCAGUGCACAGCCCCCAGGGCGCGGUCUAGACGCCAUGGCCGCCUGCUCAAAAGCGGGGUCCCUGCACUGGGGACCCACCGGGACAUUUGGGUUUUUCUUUUUAAUGUGGGCUUUUCCUUUAUUUAAAUUUUUUUUUCAGCAUACAAAUUCACAAAACUUUCCUGCUACAAAAAUUUUGUUGAAAAAUAAGGCUUUCUGAGAAUGAAAAUCCGUGUAUAUGGUGAGCACAAGCUCCACCGUGGCCGGACGGUGCGUCUGCCCGUGGCCCUGCCAGGCCCGGCUGCCACCGCGAAUAAGGCAAGGGGGUUGCAGGCAUGUAAAUGGCAAGGCCAUGGCCCGAGCUGGAGGACGCUCCUCUGGAGUAGGGAGACGCGGGCCAGCAAGCUGCCCCUCCCCACGGCUCUCCUGGAGCCCUGAUCCCGCUCUCGUGGUUCAGGCCCCGGGCAGGCGGGCAGCCUGGUACAGCCCUCCUCCCUGGCUCUGAACUCCCCCAGCCUUACCGCAGAGGCAGGAGUUUAUGGGAGUCGGCUGCGAGAGGCAGGGCCCCCACAAAAGUGAGGCUCCUGCAGGGCGAGUCCGCCAGCCCGCAGCUGCCCCGGCGGGACAGCCACCUGGGGUCGGAGAGAGCCUCCUGGGCGAGCGUUCCUCCAAGAGCAGAAGUCUUGGUGCCAGUGGGUUGUGCACGAACGGGCCUCUCUGGGCAGUGUGGGCACCUUCUAGCUGGGGUCUGCUCUCUCCAAUCAAAGACAAACAUGAAACCAACUGACGGACAUUUCUUUCUCUGAGCAGAAAGGACACUGGCCGUCUUCUCCCCUCACUGCUGCUGGUGUGGGCUUGGGCUAGGAGCUUCUGAGGGGGCAGGGACAGCCAAGAGGGAGCUGAGGAGGCUGGAAACAACCAAACUCUGCCCUGCCCUGGGCCAGGAUGGUUUCUGCCCGAAAGCGCCCUGGGGCUGGGCCUGUGGGUAGAUGGGACCGGCUUGCAGGGAGGGCCAUUUCACAAGCUCCUGCUUGUCCUUCCCUGCCAUGAGGCCUGAGAGGGGGGAGGCCUAUCCUGGCUCAGCCCUCUGUCCCUCAGUGUGGCAUGGACCAGGAGAUGGGGCCCUGCCUCCCUUCCCAAAGGAAGGGCUGCUUUAGAGGCCACGCUCCUCUGUGGCCACUCUUGGUGUGGGCCAGGUGCCACACCUCCCACCUCAGAGGCAUCAGCUCAUGCUCUCCGAGUUCACAUGCUGCCAGACAUCACACAACUGCCCCAGCCUCCUCCGGAUUUGCUCUAAGAUGUGGUCUCUACAACCCACCAGGCAGGGAUCAGGCAAGAUGUCAUCGUGGACCCAGAGCCGCCAGCUCUCUGAGUUGGCUCUCCAGGGUCCCAAGGGGAUGUGCCUCUGGUGGGAGCCACCGAGGCAUAGCUGGUUCCUGCCGCAAGGUGGCCCAGCACCCGCACACCCAUUACACUGUCCAGACAGAGGCUUUCAGUGCAACCUCAGAGGGCCACUGAGUUAGGGAUUCUGCCAGCAUCUUAAGGCUGAUUUUUAAGAAAAGCCACCUACAAUCAGAACUUGAGCCAUGACACUUUUGAUGCAGUAAAAAAGUGAAGGUUUAAAUAAAGUUUCCCAAACAGGGUCAUUCUUUAGGAGAAAGAAGGUGAGAACCA
Equus asinus (donkey) is the source of this 1809-nucleotide long non-coding RNA. Lineage: Eukaryota; Metazoa; Chordata; Mammalia; Perissodactyla; Equidae. The record is from Ensembl.